AAUUCCAAAGACCAAAAAUAGUGAACAUUCAAUUGCCAAAACAUUGAAAAUGUUCCAUUGUCUCUGUCAGGUCCACGUUGGGUAGACAUCAAUAGAGAAACAGGAAAUUACUAUGAAAUUAUAUUUCAGUUGUGUAUAUUACUUAGUUUUUAUGUCAUGACUUUAUUCAUGUUCAUUCCUCAAAGUCAUCAUCUCUGCUCAGGCAAUAUCAGCCAGCCAGCCAGACCAUCUAGGUUAUCUCUGUGCUCUCCUUAAAGUCAUCAUCUCUGCUCAGGCAAUAUCAGCCAGACCAUCUAGGUUAUCUCUGUGCUCUCCUUAAAGUCAUCAUCUCUGCUCAGGCAAUAUCAGCCAGACCAUCUAGGUUAUCUCUGUGCUCUCCUUAAAGUCAUCAUCUCUGCUCAGGCAAUAUCAGCCAGACCAUCUAGGUUAUCUCUGUGCUCUCCUUAAAGUCAUCAUCUCUGCUCAGGCAAUAUCAGCCAGACCAUCUAGGUUAUCUCUGUGCUCUCCUUAAAGUCAUCAUCUCUGCUCAGGCAGUAUCAGCCAGACCAUCUAGGUUAUCUCUGUGCUCUCCUUAAAGUCAUCAUCUCUGCUCAGGCAAUAUCAGCCAGACCAUCUAGGUUAUCUCUGUGCUCUCCUUAAAGUCAUCAUCUCUGCUCAGGCAAUAUCAGCCAGACCAUCUAGGUUAUCUCUGUGCUCUCCUUAAAGUCAUCAUCUCUGCUCAGGCAGUAUCAGCCAGUCAGCCAGACCAUCUAGGUUAUCUCUGUGCUCUCCUUAAAGUCAUCAUCUCU
Long non-coding RNA from Oncorhynchus keta (chum salmon), 788 nucleotides. RefSeq lists it as uncharacterized. The record is from RefSeq and is a predicted model, not a curated record. The transcript has 3 exons. Lineage: Eukaryota; Metazoa; Chordata; Actinopteri; Salmoniformes; Salmonidae.